AGCAGCCGCGGUAAUUCCAGCUCCAAUAGCGUAUAUUAAAGUUGUUGCAGUUAAAAAGCUCGUAGUUGAAUUUCGGGAUCAAAGGAUCGGUCAUGCCUUGGUAUGUACUGGUUUUAUUGGUUCUCACCUUCUAAAGAACCAUAAUGUCAUUCAUUUGAUGUUAUGGGGAAUUAGGACUGUUACCUUGAAAAAUUAGAGUGUUUAAAGCAGGCUUACGCUUGAAUACAUUAGCAUGGAAUAAUGAAAUAGGACAUCAGAUUCUAUUUUGUUGGUUUCUAGGAUCGAUGUAAUGAUUAAUAGGGAUAGUUGGGGGCAUUAGUAUUCAAUUGUCAGAGGUGAAAUUCUUGGAUUUAUUGAAGACUAACUACUGCGAAAGCAUUUGCCAAGGAUGUUUUCAUUAAUCAAGAACGAAAGUUAGGGGAUCGAAGACGAUCAGAUACCGUCGUAGUC
This 450-nucleotide ribosomal RNA is filed under the name uncultured Glomus. Its description in RNAcentral is "SSU rRNA". It matches the Rfam family "Eukaryotic small subunit ribosomal RNA", at positions 569 to 1025 of the family's 1831-position model. The record is from RNAcentral. Lineage: Eukaryota; Fungi; Glomeromycota; Glomeromycetes; Glomerales; Glomeraceae.